GACGAACGCUGGCGGCGUGCUUAACACAUGCAAGUCGAACGCUGAAGCUUGGUGCUUGCACUGGGUGGAUGAGUGGCGAACGGGUGAGUAAUACGUGAGUAACCUGCCCUUGACGCUGGGAUAAGCCUGGGAAACUGGGUCUAAUACUGGAUACGACAUGUCACCGCAUGGUGGUGUGUGGAAAGGGUUUUACUGGUUUUGAUGGGCUCACGGCCUAUCAGCUUGUUGGUGGGGUAAUGGCUCACCAAGGCGACGACGGGUAGCCGGCCUGAGAGGGUGACCGGCCACACUGGGACUGAGACACGGCCCAGACUCCUACGGGAGGCAGCAGUGGGGAAUAUUGCACAAUGGGCGGAAGCCUGAUGCAGCGACGCCGCGUGAGGGAUGACGGCCUUCGGGUUGUAAACCUCUUUCAGCACGGAAGAAGCGAAAGUGACGGUACGUGCAGAAGAAGCGCCGGCUAACUACGUG
Molecule: ribosomal RNA, 471 nt
Filed under: uncultured bacterium
Lineage: Bacteria
Description: partial 16S ribosomal RNA
Rfam family: Bacterial small subunit ribosomal RNA
Source: RNAcentral